This 102-nucleotide microRNA precursor is filed under the name Marmota monax (woodchuck). Lineage: Eukaryota; Metazoa; Chordata; Mammalia; Rodentia; Sciuridae. The record is from RNAcentral.
AAGGCAAUUGCUGGGUCAGAUGGUAGUUGUAUGUUUGUUUUGUAAGAAGCUGUCAAAAUGUUUUCCAGAAUGGCUGUAUCGUUUCGUAUUUCCACCAGCAAU